Molecule: ribosomal RNA, 420 nt
Filed under: Bacillus sp. R-31545
Lineage: Bacteria; Bacillati; Bacillota; Bacilli; Caryophanales; Bacillaceae
Description: bacterial SSU rRNA
Rfam family: Bacterial small subunit ribosomal RNA
Source: RNAcentral
UGGCUCAGGACGAACGCUGGCGGCGUGCCUAAUACAUGCAAGUCGAGCGGACAGAAGGGAGCUUGCUCCCGGAUGUUAGCGGCGGACGGGUGAGUAACACGUGGGUAACCUGCCUGUAAGACUGGGAUAACUCCGGGAAACCGGAGCUAAUACCGGAUAGUUCCUUGAACCGCAAGGUUCAAGGAUGAAAGACGGUUUCGGCUGUCACUUACAGAUGGACCCGCGGCGCAUUAGCUAGUUGGUGAGGUAACGGCUCACCAAGGCGACGAUGCGUAGCCGACCUGAGAGGGUGAUCGGCCACACUGGGACUGAGACACGGCCCAGACUCCUACGGGAGGCAGCAGUAGGGAAUCUUCCGCAAUGGACGAAAGUCUGACGGAGCAACGCCGCGUGAGUGAUGAAGGUUUUCGGAUCGUAAAG